Molecule: transfer RNA, 72 nt
Filed under: Endomicrobium sp.
Lineage: Bacteria; Pseudomonadati; Elusimicrobiota; Endomicrobiia; Endomicrobiales; Endomicrobiaceae
Description: tRNA-Gly
Rfam family: tRNA
About the family: Transfer RNA (tRNA) molecules are approximately 80 nucleotides in length. Their secondary structure includes four short double-helical elements and three loops (D, anti-codon, and T loops).
Source: RNAcentral
GCGGGUGUAGUUUAGAGGAAAAACGUCUCGUUGCCAACGAGAAGAAUAUGGGUUCGAUUCCCAUCAUCCGCU